This 435-nucleotide ribosomal RNA is filed under the name uncultured bacterium. RNAcentral's name for it is "partial 16S ribosomal RNA". It matches the Rfam family "Bacterial small subunit ribosomal RNA", at positions 29 to 506 of the family's 1533-position model. The record is from RNAcentral.
AGCGAACGCUGGCGGCAGGCUUAACACAUGCAAGUCGAGCGGGCAUCCUUGUGGUGUCCGCGGCAGACGGGUGAGUAACGCGUGGGAACGUGCCCUUCGGUUCGGAAUAACUCAGGGAAACUUGAGCUAAUACCGGAUACGCCCUUUUGGGGAAAGGUUUACUGCCGAAGGAUCGGCCCGCGUCUGAUUAGCUAGUUGGUGAGGUUACGGCUCACCAAGGCGACGAUCAGUAGCUGGUCUGAGAGGAUGAUCAGCCACACUGGGACUGAGACACGGCCCAGACUCCGACGGGAGGCAGCAGUGGGGAAUAUGGGACAAUGGGGGCAACCCUGAUCCAGCCAUGCCGCGUGAGUGAUAACAGCCUUAGGGUUGUAAAGCUCUUUUCGCCGGGACGAUAAUGACGGUACCGGAGGAAUAAGCCCCGGCUAACUUCGU